RNAcentral lists this ribosomal RNA (253 nucleotides) under uncultured bacterium. RNAcentral's name for it is "partial 16S ribosomal RNA". It matches the Rfam family "Bacterial small subunit ribosomal RNA", at positions 524 to 776 of the family's 1533-position model. The record is from RNAcentral.
UACGUAGGGAGCAAGCGUUGUUCGGAAUUACUGGGCGUAAAGGGAGAGUAGGCGGGAAUGCAAGUUAAAAGUGAAAUGCAUGGGCUUAACCCAUGAAUGGCUUUUAAUACUGCUUUUCUUGAGUAUGGGAGAGGAUGAUGGAAUUCCAGGUGUAGCGGUGGAAUGCGUAGAUAUCUGGAAGAACACCAGUUGCGAAGGCGGUCAUCUGGCCCAAUACUGACGCUGAGGCUCGAAAGCUAGGGGAGCAAACAGG